GAGAGCCGUAACGACAGGUGCUGCAUGGCUGUCGUCAGCUCGUGUCGUGAGAUGUUGGGUUAAGUCCCGCAACGAGCGCAACCCUUGUCAUUAGUUGCUACGAAAGGGCACUCUAAUGAGACUGCCGGUGACAAACCGGAGGAAGGUGGGGAUGACGUCAAGUCCUCAUGGCCCUUAUAGGUGGGGCUACACACGUCAUACAAUGGCUGGUACAAAGGGUUGCCAACCCGCGAGGGGGAGCCAAUCCCAUAAAGCCAGUCGUAGUCCGGAUCGCAGUCUGCAACUCGACUGCGUGAAGUCGGAAUCGCUAGUAAUCGUGGAUCAGCAUGUCACGGUGAAUACGUUCCCGGGUCUU
This 355-nucleotide ribosomal RNA is filed under the name uncultured Hydrogenophaga sp. RNAcentral's name for it is "bacterial SSU rRNA". It matches the Rfam family "Bacterial small subunit ribosomal RNA", at positions 1021 to 1382 of the family's 1533-position model. Lineage: Bacteria; Pseudomonadati; Pseudomonadota; Betaproteobacteria; Burkholderiales; Comamonadaceae. The record is from RNAcentral.